This is a long non-coding RNA of Epinephelus fuscoguttatus (brown-marbled grouper), 304 nucleotides long. RefSeq lists it as uncharacterized. The transcript has 3 exons. The record is from RefSeq and is a predicted model, not a curated record. NCBI's taxonomy places the organism in Eukaryota, Metazoa, Chordata, Actinopteri, Perciformes, Serranidae.
AUGAAACACUGAGAGUCUUUCUCUCCUCUGCUGUCUUAUAGUUUCCUCCACCCACAGGAUAUGUGGCAGAACAGGUGAUGGUGACUCCAUCAUGUUUGUCUGACAGAGUGAUGGUCUCCUGGAUUUUAGUUGUGAGGGUUCGAUCUGUGUUCUCCUCUAUUGUGUUGUGAGGGUGUUGUGUGAGAUUCCAGGUGAGUUUAGGAGGGGAGUGUGGACAGGGAGUGGAAGCUGAGCAGGUUAUAGUGACAGACUCCUUCUCCCUCAGAUCACCUGAGAUCUCAAUUCUGGGCCUCGGAGGAGAAUC